AAGAUUUUAAGUUAAGUUAAACUAAUAACCUUCAAAGUUAUAAAUAUAUAAAUAAAGUUAGGUCUUA
RNAcentral lists this transfer RNA (67 nucleotides) under Chudania hellerina. Its description in RNAcentral is "tRNA-Trp". The record is from RNAcentral. Lineage: Eukaryota; Metazoa; Arthropoda; Insecta; Hemiptera; Cicadellidae.